This is a long non-coding RNA of Eucalyptus grandis, 704 nucleotides long. RefSeq lists it as uncharacterized. The transcript has 4 exons. The record is from RefSeq and is a predicted model, not a curated record. NCBI's taxonomy places the organism in Eukaryota, Viridiplantae, Streptophyta, Magnoliopsida, Myrtales, Myrtaceae.
AUGUAACAACAUUCUUUGUAAUCCCUAUCUUAAGACAUUGGUAUAUUCCACGAAGCUAAGGAAAAAGAGCUUAUGUAUCCAGUAUCUGUAAGCCUCCUGUCGAGAAAGCAGGAUGCGCCCGGCCUCUGCCUGCAUUACCAUUUUCUCUUUGGUCGGAAAAGACGUCUGGAUUGCCACCAAGCCUUGACAUUCGGCUACCGUGACUCCUUUGGUGCACUUGGAAAUACCCAAAUGUCUGAGGACCAAGUCAAGAAAGAGAACAAACAUUGGAUAAUCAUUGGAAGAAUCAUGAAGUGAUACCUCUAUAUCCAGCUUCCUUUGUUCAGAUAGUUUUGGCUUCCAUGGCCCAGGUGGACUGGUCGAAACAUCAACAUGCAUAGCAUCUGCAGCAGGAAGAUCACAAUCAUCCGCUUUUGUCUUUAGACAAUGUUUUCUGGGAUCACUUGAGCAGCUAUGAAGAGGUAAGGGAGUAAAACCGUGAUCCUCGGGUGCAUGGGUGUCCACCCUACUUACCCUAUGUGCUAUCGGCAUCAGAUGACGCGGUUGUAAAGCUCUGGGACUGGGAGAAGGACUAGAUGUGUACUCAAACAUUUGAAGGACAUUCACAUUAUGUGAUGUGAGUAGCAUUUGAUCCUCAAGAUCCUAAUGCUUUUGCAAGUGCAUCACUUGAUGGAACUAUAAAGAUUUGGAAUGUUCACUCCUCU